Long non-coding RNA from Sebastes umbrosus (honeycomb rockfish), 288 nucleotides. RefSeq lists it as uncharacterized. The record is from RefSeq and is a predicted model, not a curated record. The transcript is spliced from 3 exons. Lineage: Eukaryota; Metazoa; Chordata; Actinopteri; Perciformes; Sebastidae.
UGAGUAUAUAAAGCUGCUGCUUUCUUUCAGCUGAGUUCAGAAACUCAACAAUCGCAAAGGUUUCGUCACAUUUAAUAUCGUUUCCUGUCGACAAGUCGAACAACAACAAAAAUGCUCCCACGGUGUGUUCUGUUGCUGCUCCUGGCCUUUGUGGCUGUUUCACUGGCAGCUCCUACCACUGCUCCAUUGUCUGACAACGAUGACGAAUUUGACGACUCCAACGAUUCCAACACCACCACCGCUGCCCCCACCACCGAUGGUAAAGAUCAUACCCUACUGUGACAUCAC